GACGGAGGAUGCAAGCGUUAUCCGGAAUGAUUGGGCGUAAAGCGUCCGCAGGUGGCAGUUCAAGUCUGCUGUCAAAGACCGGGGCUUAACUUCGGAAAGGCAGUGGAAACUGAACAGCUAGAGUAUGGUAGGGGCAGAGGGAAUUCCUGGUGUAGCGGUGAAAUGUGUAGAGAUCAGGAAGAACAUCGGUGGCGAAGGCGCUCUGCUGGACCAUAACUGACACUCAGGGACGAAAGCUAGGGGAGCGAAUGGG
RNAcentral lists this ribosomal RNA (253 nucleotides) under uncultured bacterium. RNAcentral's name for it is "partial 16S ribosomal RNA". It matches the Rfam family "Bacterial small subunit ribosomal RNA", at positions 524 to 776 of the family's 1533-position model. The record is from RNAcentral.